Molecule: long non-coding RNA, 3250 nt
Filed under: Nicotiana tabacum (common tobacco)
Lineage: Eukaryota; Viridiplantae; Streptophyta; Magnoliopsida; Solanales; Solanaceae
Description: long non-coding RNA (NTAB_LNC018831)
Source: RNAcentral
CAACACUGAAACGGCACCCAUCUCCUAGCCCGUUUCUGCCCCGCUUCAACUCGCCGAGUUUGUUGGUCCCUCCUUGCAUCUCUCUCCAACAUGGCUUAACCAUUUCUGACAGAUUCUCUCUCCCUCACAUGCGCUCUCUUUGUUUUUUUCCGGAUUUUUACUCUUUUAGAUGGAAAUUAGGAAAAAUGAGAGGCGUAGGAUUGAGUGAAAUUGGAUCCACUCCCUCCAUUUGUCCGUUUUUUCCAUCAAAAAGGGUAAAAAAUCAGAUUUGGAUUUUGCGAAUUUUUGGGAGAUUUCUUGGGAAGGAAGCAUAGAAGGUUCGAGAAUAUUGGAGGUUUAUAUAUAAAGUAAGGAUUUUCUUGGUUAAGGGGUCAGAGAUUUCUUUCGGAAAUUGAGGGAGGUAAAAAGUUCGAGGGUUCUUGCUUUUCUUUUCUUCAGAUUCCUCAAUUUUAGUUUGCGCUUUUCAGAAAACAAAAAUAAAAAAUAGUCUGAGUUUGAUUUUGUUUUAGUUUUACUUCAUUUCAAAAGAAAAAUAAAAAAUUACCAAAAUCUCAACAUUUUUCUGAUUUCUGAUUCUCAAGAAUGGAGUUGGAUUGAAGUUUAAGUUGGAGCUUGUGUUUGGGUUCGGAAUUUCGGUGCCGUUUUGAGUUCCGUUCGAGUUUGUUUCUGAUUUCAUUCGGCUUAUUCUAGCUUUUCUCUGUUCAAUCGGGUAAGUUUUUGGGAAACUUCUGUGUCUUAUGCUAUAGUGUCUUAUUGAAAGGAGCUCUCAACAAGCCAAAAUCUUCAUACUGUUUUCUUUGAGUAUUUUCAUUAUGAAUAGUUAAACGAUGACUAAAUCCUUCAGUUAAUUUUGAUAUACAUUGUGUUUCUUAAGUGUUAAUUAUUGGUAGUGUCUUUAUGUGAGAACUUUUAUAUCAAAUGGCCCAAUUUGAAGAAGCCAAGGGCUUUGCAUGGAUGAACUAGGAAAUCUUCCUCCAUAUAAUAUGUGCAAGCCACUGGUCGUCCAACUUUCCUCUUUACUAUUUUCUGAUUCCAUUUCCUCUGUUAUUUUUGGUUUUCCAUUAUUAUGAUGGUUACAUCAAGCUCGUAAUAUUGUACUCCAUUUUGUAAGUGUAACUAGGGGAGAUACAACUAACGCAGGCUACACAAAAUAUUGUCGACUCUGUUCCAUUUCAUUACUGCAUUUUAAUUUUAGGCAAUACUUGUAAUUUUGUUUCUGUCCAGGUGGAGUCAUUAUAGUUACAACUAUAAGAACGAUUGCAUAAUAAACAAUUUUAUGUUUUUUUUAAAUAAAGGUGAAUAGAUUUGCAUGAAGGAAGUUUUUUUUUAUUUAAGUUAAAAUUCCCACUGAAUUAUUGGACUGAAACGGUGAAAGAAUGGACAUUUGACAUUUUUAGUUUAUGGGAGGAAACUGGAAACUAGAAAAAGAAGAACCAAGGGAUGUUUUUGUUGAUUUGCUAAAUGUUGUCAAAAAAUAUAUAUAUUCAUAAAAUGUUGGUGUUAAUAUAGAUCAUUUUUAUACAAGUACUUGAAUAUGAAAAUUGUUGUCAUACUUUUUAAACCCUCACCCUGUAUCUUGCUCUUCUGUUGAUACUGCUUUACCUGUGUAUACAAGUACUUCUGUUGAUAUGGCAUUCACAAUGUGUUGUGUCCUCUUUACCUGUUGAGCGUGAGCAAGCGUAAAUGUUGCCAUUUUGGCUUGUGCUAAGCUACUGGCUACUGUUAGGCCUGCCCAAAAACCAUUUUCUUUAUCAAAUAAUGGGCCUAGCCACAUUUCUGAUUAAAUGAACUUGGCCCAUGAGAGUUCGAACAGAAUGUUAGACUUUGGUUAAUUUUUUUUCGUUGUAAUUUUAUUUUGUUUAACUGGACCAUUAGGAAUAUGCUUAGGCCGUUAAUAUUCAUAAAUAUCGUAGUUUUCUUUAGGCACAUAAUUAAAUCAUCACAACUACGGGUAUGGUUCUCAUGGCGUGGCUGUGAUCCCUAAUUUCAAAUUAAUGUUAAAUAUGAAUAUCUAUAGUUCACCUAAUUGAAUGCUUUUCCUUUAAUAAAUUUGAGGCGUGCCAUCCAAUCACCUAGUCUAUGACCCUCACAUCGAUAUUUUAACUAGUGUAGAAAAAUACCCUGAACUCAGUUUGUUUUAGGCGCGUUAAUUAAAUAAAUUGUCAUAGCUACGGGUACGGUUCCCGCGACGUAGUUGUGAUGCUUAAUUUCUAAAACCCGGGGGUACAUUUAUGUGACCCGGCGAAAAGUCUUGUUAAUAAAAUAAACAUGUUAUGGAUCGUGGGUAUAUUCUCGUGACAUGAUUCACGACGUGUAAUCAAAUAAUUGGUUGUAUAACAAUUGGAUUAUUAAAAGUGGUUUAAAAGAAAUAAAAUGCGCAUAGGUUUAAAAGAUGUUUUAAAAUCAAAUAAAUAGGACAAUAUUAACAGUUGAGCAACCGUGCUAAAACCACGGAACCCGGGAAUGCCUAACACCUUCUCCCGGGUUAACAGAAUUCCUUACCCGAAUUUUUGCGUUUCGCGGACUGUAAAACAGAGUCAAUCUUCCUCGAUUCGGAAUUUUAAAUCGGUGACUUGGGACACCAUAAAUUAUCCCAAGUGACGACUCUGAAUUUUAAAUAAAUCAUCCCAUUUCGAUUGUCAAUUAAAUUAGAAAAACUCUCAUAUACCCUUCUAGGGGUAGAAAAGGGAGGUGUGACAAGUUCUUCUAUGACUUCGUGCAUAUAUGCUACAUGUCCAAAUUAUUGUGGUUGCCUGUGUAGUUAUCACAUGCCUUACAUGUCUUGUUGUUUUUGUAAAGGUUGUUGCAUUCCUUUGAAUCUUACGUGAUUCUCUUGUUGUUGUGUACUCAUACUCUUAGUGGUAGAAAUUCUUGUAAUUGAGUUGUUGAAUUGUUGUUGUUGAUUUAGAUUAUGUACGGUGGGAUCGGGUUGCACGCCACAACAGGAGGAAUAAGGGUGAUAUAUUGAGGAGGAAUAAGGGUGAAUUGAUAUUGUAUGGUGGGAUUGGGUUGCGUGCCGCAACAAGAGGAAUAAUGGUGAUAUAUUGAGGAGGAAUACGGGUGAAUUUAUAUUAUAUAGUGGAAUCGGGUUGCGCAACGCAACAUAUUAUGUUAUUAUUAUGAUAUUGAUAAUAUAUGGUGGGAUCGAGUUGCGCACCGCAACAUAUUAUGAUAUUGAUAUUAUACGGUGGGAUUGGAUUGCACGCAUCAACAGGAGGAAUAAGGGUGAUAUAUUAAGGAGGAAUAAGGG